RNAcentral lists this ribosomal RNA (119 nucleotides) under Castor canadensis (American beaver). Lineage: Eukaryota; Metazoa; Chordata; Mammalia; Rodentia; Castoridae. The record is from RNAcentral.
GUCUACAGCCAUACCACCCUGAACGUGCCCGAUCUCAUCUGAUCUCGGAAGCUAAGCAGGGUCAGUCCUGGUUAGUACUUGGAUGGGAGACCGCCUGGGAAUACCAGGUGCUGUAGGCU